Molecule: ribosomal RNA, 437 nt
Filed under: uncultured bacterium
Lineage: Bacteria
Description: partial 16S ribosomal RNA
Rfam family: Bacterial small subunit ribosomal RNA
Source: RNAcentral
GAUGAACGCUGGCGGCAUGCCUAAUACAUGCAAGUCGGACGGGAAGUGGUGUUUCUUGCGGCUGACGGGUUAGCAACGCGCAAGAACGUGCCCCGGGGAGGGGCACACUAGCAGGAAACGACAGCUAAUACAACGCAGGCCGAGGAGCAAAAGGAGUAAUGCGCCCGAGGAGUGGCUAGUGAAAGAUUUUCUAGCUGGUGAGGGAAUAUCUAACCAAGGCGCUGGUCAGAAGCUGUUCCGAGAGGAUGAACAGCCACACCGGGACUGAGACACGACCCAGGGACCCACGAGAGACGGGAGUGGGGAAUUUUCCGCAAUGGGCGGGAGGCUGACGGAGCAAUGCCGCGUGGAAGUAGAAGGACCACGGGACGUGAACUGCUUUUCCCAGAGAAGAAGCAAUGACGGUAUCUGGGGAAUAAGCAUCGGCUAACUCUGUG